UUNGGAAACUGUUAGACUUGAGUGCAGAAGGGGAGAGUGGAAUNCCAUGUGUAGCGGUGAAAUGCGUAGAUAUAUGGAGGANCACCGGUGGCGAAAGCGGCUCUCUGGUCUGUCACUGACGCUGAGGCACGAAAGCGUGGGUAGCGAACAGGAUUAGAUACCCUGGUAGUNCACGCCGUAAACGCUGAGUGCUAGGUGUUAGGUCCNUUCCGGGACUUAGUGCCGACGCUAACGCAUUAAGCACUCCGCCUGGGGAGUACGACCGCAAGGUUGAGACUCAAAGGAAUUGACGGGGGCCCGCACAAGCGGUGGAGCAUGUGGUUUAAUUCGAAGCAACGCGAAGAACCUUACCAGGUCUCGACAUCCCGAUGCCCGCUCUAGAGAUAGAGUUUUUCUUCGGAACAUCGGAGACAGGUGGUGCAUGGUUGUCGUCAGCUCGUGUCGUGAGAUGUUGGGUUAAGUCCCGCAACGAGCGCAACCCUUAUUGUUAGUUGCCAUCAUUAAGUUGGGCACUCUAGCGAGACUGCCGGUAAUAAACCGGAGGAAGGUGGGGAUGACGUCAAAUCAUCAUGCCCCUUAUGACCUGGGCUACACACGUGCUAC
RNAcentral lists this ribosomal RNA (603 nucleotides) under uncultured bacterium. Its description in RNAcentral is "bacterial SSU rRNA". It matches the Rfam family "Bacterial small subunit ribosomal RNA", at positions 625 to 1228 of the family's 1533-position model. The record is from RNAcentral.